UAAGAGGUACUGCCUGCCCAGUGGACAUCAGUUUAACGGCCGCGGUAUUAUGACCGUGCAAAGGUAGCGUAAUCACUUGUCUUUUAAAUAAAGMCCUGUAUGAAUGGCAAAACGAAAGCUCAACUGUCUCUUUUAAUUAAUCAAUGAAAUUGAUCUUUCCGUGCAGAAGCGGAAAUAAUUUUAUAAGACGAGAAGACCCUAUGGAGCUUUAAACAAAUAUUAAUUAUUUAUAAAAUAAAAGUAAUAAGAGUUUUAGGUUGGGGCGACCGUGGAGGAAAAACCAMCCUCCAAGAUAAAUAUUAGAAAUMCMCAUCAAAAUAAUAAAAAUUUAACAUAUUUGAUCCAAUAAUUGAUCAACGAACCAAGUUACCCUAGGGAUAACAGCGCAAUCUUCUCAAAGAGUCCUUAUCGACGAGUAGGUUUACGACCUCGAUGUUGGAUCAGGACACCCAAAUGGUGUAACCGUUAUUUAAGGUUCGUUUGUUCAAC
RNAcentral lists this ribosomal RNA (489 nucleotides) under Rhyacotriton variegatus (southern torrent salamander). RNAcentral's name for it is "partial 16S ribosomal RNA". It matches the Rfam family "Bacterial large subunit ribosomal RNA", at positions 1846 to 2585 of the family's 2925-position model. The record is from RNAcentral. Lineage: Eukaryota; Metazoa; Chordata; Amphibia; Caudata; Rhyacotritonidae.